GAUGAACGCUAGCGGCAGGCUUAAUACAUGCAAGUCGUGGGGCAGCAGGACUGUAGCAAUACAGUUGCUGGCGACCGGCAAACGGGUGCGGAACAUGUACGCAACUUACCCUGAACUGGGGGAUAGCCCGGGGAAACCCGGAUUAAUACCCCGUAAUAUAAUGGAGUGGCAUCACUUUAUUAUUAAAGCUCCGGCGGUUCGGGAUGGGCGUGCGGCUGAUUAGGUAGUUGGUUGAGGUAACGGCUCACCAAGCCUACGAUCAGUAACUGGUGUGAGAGCACGACCAGUCAGACGGGGACCGAGACACGGGCCCGACUCCUACGGGAGGCAGCGGUAAGGAAUACUGUGCAAUGGAGGCAACUCUGACCCAGCCAUGCCGCGUGGAGGAGGAAGGCCCUCUGGGUUGUAAACUUCUUGGAUAGGAGACGAAACCUGUGUAUUCUUACGCAGUUGACGGUACCCUAGGAAUAAGCACCGGCUAACUCCGUG
Molecule: ribosomal RNA, 489 nt
Filed under: uncultured bacterium
Lineage: Bacteria
Description: partial 16S ribosomal RNA
Rfam family: Bacterial small subunit ribosomal RNA
Source: RNAcentral